UAAGGAAUAUUGGUCAAUGGGCGGAAGCCUGAACCAGCCAUGCCGCGUGCAGGAAGACGGCCCUACGGGUUGUAAACUGCUUUUAUACGGGAAUAAACCUUGGUACGUGUACCAAGCUGAAUGUACUGUAAGAAUAAGGAUCGGCUAACUCCGUGCCAGCAGCCGCGGUAAUACGGAGGAUCCAAGCGUUAUCCGGAUUUAUUGGGUUUAAAGGGUGCGUAGGUGGCCUGUUAAGUCAGGGGUGAAAGACGGUAGCUCAACUAUCGCAGUGCCCUUGAUACUGAUGGGCUUGAAUGAACUAGAGGUAGGCGGAAUGUGACAAGUAGCGGUGAAAUGCAUAGAUAUGUCACAGAACACCAAUUGCGAAGGCAGCUUACUAUGGUUUUAUUGACACUGAGGCACGAAAGCGUGGGGAUCAAACAGGAUUAGAUACCCCGGUAGUCC
This 444-nucleotide ribosomal RNA is filed under the name uncultured bacterium. Its description in RNAcentral is "bacterial SSU rRNA". It matches the Rfam family "Bacterial small subunit ribosomal RNA", at positions 355 to 796 of the family's 1533-position model. The record is from RNAcentral.